This 485-nucleotide ribosomal RNA is filed under the name Stumpffia edmondsi. Its description in RNAcentral is "partial 16S ribosomal RNA". Lineage: Eukaryota; Metazoa; Chordata; Amphibia; Anura; Microhylidae. The record is from RNAcentral.
CCAUAGGGCCAACCCAUCCCUGUUACAAAAGGGCGGGAAGAUUUUAAAGUAGAGGUGACACACCAAUCGAGCCUAGAGAUAGCUGGUUAUUCAAAAAACGGAUUUAAGUCCAACUUUAAGCUUCCACCAGUGGCACAAACAACCCAUAAACUUAAAAGCCAUUCAAAUAAGGUACAGCCUAUUUGAACAAGGAGACAACCUACAAUAUAGGGUAAUGACCACCACACCUGGUUAAGUAGGCCUAAAAGCAGCCAACUUCAAAAAGCGUCCAAGCUUCACCACAUUAACAACUAAUCCCCCCAUUUACCCACAACCCACAACUAACACUGAAUGACCCCAUACCUGUAUGGAAGACAUUAUGCUAGAACUAGUAACAAGAAGACGGACUUCUCCAAAAUGCAAACAUAGGCCAAAAUGAACCCCCCACCGGCACUUACCGCUAUUACAACCACAGUACCAACUACACAAGAAAAACCCUACUACAC